AGUGACAUAGGAGUUGAGGCCGCCUACUUUCUCAACGUGUCCUGCUCCGCUGGCUGGGUUCAGAAUUGGUGGGUUAGAGCAGCACUGAGGUCCUGACAUUUUCUUUUUUUUUCUUCUCUUGGAUCAACUGAACCAAGCAAGUGACUAGCUCUUCAGAAUAGGAUCUCAAAGAAAAGACGACGGCAUUGGUAUUUCCACCAAUCUGGCACCUGCUGGAUUUUAUAGUUGCAGUUGAGCCGGGCUGGCUGGAA
Molecule: unclassified non-coding RNA, 251 nt
Filed under: Hevea brasiliensis (rubber tree)
Lineage: Eukaryota; Viridiplantae; Streptophyta; Magnoliopsida; Malpighiales; Euphorbiaceae
Source: RNAcentral